UGUUGGGUUAAAUCCCCGAAACGAGCGCAACCCCUUAUUUUCAGUUGCCAACAGGUAAUGGCUGGGACUUCUGAAGAAACUGCCGUCGUAAGACGCGAGGAAGGAGGGGAUGAUGUCAGGUCAUCAUGGCCUUUAUGCCCAGGGCUACACACGUGCUACAAUGGGGAGGACAAAGGGGUGUUACCUGGUGACAGGAUGCAAAUCUCAAAAACCUUUUCUCAGUUCAGAUUGUAGUCUGCAACUCGACUACAUGAAGCUGGAAUCGCUAGUAAUCGCGCAUCAGCAAUGGCGCGGUGAAUACGUUCCCGGACCUUGUACACACCGCCCGUCAAGCCAUGGAAGCUGGGUGUACCUAAAGUCGGUAACCGCAAGGAGCCGCCUAGGGUAAAACUAGUAACUGGGGCUAAGUCGUAACACGGUAACCAAGGG
RNAcentral lists this ribosomal RNA (429 nucleotides) under uncultured bacterium. RNAcentral describes it as "bacterial SSU rRNA". It matches the Rfam family "Bacterial small subunit ribosomal RNA", at positions 1073 to 1506 of the family's 1533-position model. The record is from RNAcentral.